UCUGUACUUGUCUUGUGUCCCAGCGUCUUAUGUUCCCAACUACAGGGCAAAUGUACAAGGACCACAUCUAAUGCGUGUUUAUCUUCUCUCUGGAGCCAGUUACAUGGGCUGCUUCUUACAAACGGGCUUACUGGGAUUACACAGAGGCUAAUGCCUGAUGCAUGAGAUUUAAGAGAAGAGGCAAAAUCAACCUUGGCCCCGAGACAGGAACAGCACAUGAGACAUCUUUCCACAUGGAUUGGUAGUUUUAUCAAGUGGAAUUUAAUCCCCCCAAAUCAAGAGGAUUAUUUUGGCUGUCGUAGGGACACAGAGUCAUAACACCUCAACCAGGGCGAUGCCAAUGGACGUGGAGGGAAAAGAAAGAUGUGGGGGAAAACAUGAAGGAAAAGCUGACAAGACUGGGUGAACAAUGAAGUUUAGAAGGUAAUGGAAAUGGAAGUUAAAUAAAGCUUCAUUUUGUUUUUCA
This 466-nucleotide long non-coding RNA is filed under the name Felis catus (domestic cat). Its description in RNAcentral is "lncRNA (ENSFCAG00000044890.2)". Lineage: Eukaryota; Metazoa; Chordata; Mammalia; Carnivora; Felidae. The record is from RNAcentral.